GAUCUUCUACAAGAAUGGCAUCAAUCAGGGGGUGGCUUUUGAAAACCUGUUUGAAGGGAUGUACUUUCCCGCCAUCUCCCUCUACAAAAAUUGCACAGUAUCUGUUAACUUUGGGCCUCAUUUCAAAUACGCUCCCAAGGACAUUAAAUACCAACCUAUGAGUGACAUGGGUUGGGGAGCUGUAAUUGAGCACACUCUGGCAGAUAUCCUGUACCAUGUGGAGACCGACGUGGAUGGCCGUCGCAGCCCCCCUUGGGAAGGCUGACCCCCCCAAUCCCUCCAGUGUGUCACUUCCUCCCUGCUGGACACUCAUUCCUGCAGUAGACUUCACUUCAUGCCAAGCACUGACCCAUAAGCCCAAUGUGAACUCCAUCCAUCUUAAGGAAGGAUCGAACUGGACCGGACCAGGUAGCACGGUUACCUAAUCCUUGUUUUACAAGAUACUUGCGAUUUUGCGUCAACAAGAAGACCCUGGAUCUUCAUUUUCCUAAGUGUGUUCUGCUGAUUUCCAUCAAAGACCUCUGUCAUAGUGCUCGUUAAAAUCAGGGGUCUGCAAGCAUGGCCGCUGAAUGGGACAAAAUAAAAUUUCAUUGGAAAGUGCUCAAGAACUUUCUAGAUUUCCUGCUUUCAUGAUGGAACCACUAUGGUCAGAAUAUCAGCAGGAGUCAGUCCUUCUCAGAAAACGUUUAAAAGCAUUUCAGAGUGUUUAUGGUACAACCAGACCUGUGGUGUCGGUCAGAUGUGAGCAGGUUAACUCUUCGUGCAUUGUGUAUCCACAUCCGAAAGGUUUCAUUUGGGGAAAGUCUGGAAGGCAGAAUAUACACAUACUGUAGGAGACAGCCUUCCUAAAUGCUAAGCUAAACAGCCUGGAAUUCUGGGUAGCUUUACUGUUUGCUGACCCUCGUCAGAAUCACCAAACUCCUCUAGCAUAGGAAGCAUGGAGUUGGUCUCCAAAUAUCUCUGGUUGUGCCUCUAAUCUCAAUCAAACCAUCGUAAGUACGAAGUCCCCCCUAUUCACUUAGGCUGCCAGUCUGAUUUCCUUGGUUUCACUUCUUCCUUCCUUCGGCUUGGUGUGUUUUAUUGUGGUUCCCUGCCAUGCUAGUCCCCUAAAUAACAUUUACCAGGGUUGGUGUUUUGUUUUAUAAUGAAACUGGUUUUAAAUAAAAUAUUUAAAAGUGCA
Paramormyrops kingsleyae is the source of this 1180-nucleotide non-coding RNA. NCBI's taxonomy places the organism in Eukaryota, Metazoa, Chordata, Actinopteri, Osteoglossiformes, Mormyridae. The record is from RefSeq and is a predicted model, not a curated record.